Molecule: long non-coding RNA, 1002 nt
Filed under: Cyanistes caeruleus (blue tit)
Lineage: Eukaryota; Metazoa; Chordata; Aves; Passeriformes; Paridae
Description: lncRNA (ENSCCEG00000016471.1)
Source: RNAcentral
GAUUAUUAUUUAGGAAACCUUUCUUUCUUCUUGCCCAUAAUGAUUUCUUCUUAAUUCUGUCUUGGUUUGGGGGGAGUGCGUGCAAUUGGCAAACUCUCACUCCUUUAAGGUGUUCACAUUAGUUAUACUUAGUAAGAGGAAUCAUUUAUAUUCAGUGAAAUUCAACUGCUCCUGCUUACAUUUAAAAUAAAUAAUGAAAACAUUACAAUAAUGGGUAGUAAUUAAUAUGAAGGAAAAGUGUAUCUAAUUUGUAUGGGAGAUGUGCUUAUUUAUUUAUCAGUAGUUAUAUUUUAAACUCUGCAGGGUUACAACUGACUGUCCAUAAAGCAGAGAAGAAGACAAGCUAUGUUCCUGCAGUUCUUAAAGUUUUGGGUAGGUGGGUAAAAUCUGUGGUUGAGUGAGCCAGUUUGAUAAUAAAUGCCUCAGCACUUCAAUAUUUUUCCUGUGUUCUCAGGAAAGUAAGAACUGAAUGCACUAAAGAACAAAUUCUCUUGUCCGUGUGAGAGAUAGAAUGCCUCUUAGUAAUGGAAAGGAAGAUCUUCUGUAUCUCAAUUCCAUUAAAAGAAUUAAGAAGGCAGAAAAUGGCAGUUUCCCUAUACAAUUAGCGGAAAAAUUUGGCAUGACUACUAAUGUAGGAAACCGGUGGAACUAGCAGUUCAGAAUUUUAAAAAUGAGGAGGAAUGCAUAGGAGACUAAUGAGGAGUGAGUUCAGCACAGACUUGGUACUUGAAGCAAAUGAUUGGACACUCCUUAUGAAAAGAGGUAAUCCAACAAUGCUGGUGUGACAGGUAACAUGGAAGCAGAUUCUCCACAUCUCUCUCUUGGGGGUGUCUCAAACUAUCUGCAAAACUUGCUAUUUUGAAAUGAGUUUUGCUUGGUUUGUCAUGCCAGCACCAGAUACAGAAGAAUGCUGCCCUAGGCCCUGCCUCUGCUCUGAUUCUGUGUUGGUGGAAUGCGCUGUGCUGUAGAAGGUGGCUGUAAUUUAUGAAGUGGUGUAAUCUC